Molecule: ribosomal RNA, 1482 nt
Filed under: Escherichia coli
Lineage: Bacteria; Pseudomonadati; Pseudomonadota; Gammaproteobacteria; Enterobacterales; Enterobacteriaceae
Description: partial 23S ribosomal RNA
Rfam family: Bacterial large subunit ribosomal RNA
Source: RNAcentral
GUUGAUAAGGUUAAGUGAAUAAGGGCGCACGGUGGAUGCCUUGGCACUAGGAGCCGAUGAAGGACGGGACUAACACCGAUAUGCUUUGGGGAGCUGUACGUAAGCUAUGAUCCAGAGAUUUCCGAAUGGGGGAACCCAGCAUCUUUAAUAGGAUGUUACGAUUGUGUGAAUACAUAGCACAUUCGAGGUAGACGCAGAGAACUGAAACAUCUAAGUACCUGCAGGAAGAGAAAGAAAAUUCGAUUCCCUGAGUAGCGGCGAGCGAAACGGGAAAAGCCCAAACCAACAAGCUUGCUUGUUGGGGUUGUAGGACUCCAAUAUGGUCGUUCUUUCAGAUAGUCGAAUGACUUGGAAAAGUCAGUCAAAGAGGGUAAAAACCCCGUAGACGAAAUGUGGAAGACACCUAGGAGGAUCCUGAGUACGGCGGAACACGAGAAAUUCCGUCGGAAUCCGGGAGGACCAUCUCCCAAGGCUAAAUACUCCCUAGUGACCGAUAGUGAACCAGUACCGUGAGGGAAAGGUGAAAAGCACCCCGGAAGGGGAGUGAAAUAGAACCUGAAACCGUGUGCCUACAACAAGUCAAAGCCCGUUAAUGGGUGAUGGCGUGCCUUUUGUAGAAUGAACCGGCGAGUUACGAUUGCAUGCGAGGUUAAGUUGAAGAGACGGAGCCGCAGCGAAAGCGAGUCUGAAUAGGGCGUUUGAGUAUGUAGUCGUAGACCCGAAACCAUGUGAUCUACCCAUGUCCAGGUUGAAGGUGCGGUAAAACGCACUGGAGGACCGAACCCACGUACGUUGAAAAGUGCGGGGAUGAGGUGUGGGUAGCGGAGAAAUUCCAAACGAACUUGGAGAUAGCUGGUUCUCUCCGAAAUAGCUUUAGGGCUAGCCUCGGAAUUGAGAAUGAUGGAGGUAGAGCACUGUUUGGACUAGGGGCCCAUCUCGGGUUACCGAAUUCAGAUAAACUCCGAAUGCCAUUCAUUCAUAUCCGGGAGUCAGACUGUGAGUGAUAAGAUCCAUAGUCGAAAGGGAAACAGCCCAGACCACCAGCUAAGGUCCCAAAAUAUAUGUUAAGUGGAAAAGGAUGUGGGGUUGCACAGACAACUAGGAUGUUGGCUUAGAAGCAGCCACCAUUUAAAGAGUGCGUAAUAGCUCACUAGUCGAGUGACCCUGCGCCGAAAAUGUACCGGGGCUAAACAUAUUACCGAAGCUGUGGAGUACACCUUUAGGUGUAUUGGUAGGAGAGCGUUCUAAGGGCGUCGAAGGCAGAUCGUGAGGACUGCUGGAGCGCUUAGAAGUGAGAAUGCCGGUAUGAGUAGCGAAAGACAGGUGAGAAUCCUGUCCACCGAAUGACUAAGGUUUCCUGGGGAAGGCUCGUCCGCCCAGGGUUAGUCGGGACCUAAGCCGAGGCCGAUAGGCGUAGGCGAUGGAUAACAGGUUGAUAUUCCUGUACCCGUUGUUUUUGUUUGAGCAAUGGAGGGACGCAGG